GGUUUGAGCCCCACCUUGUAGACGCUGACGCUGUUGCGUGUCCUUGCAGCGCUUGCAGCCCUACUUUAUAGCUGGCCUCCGUUAACCCUACCCAUGGUUACGUUGCUCUGUGUAAAAAGUUCGCCUUAGUUGUGUCGCCGUUUGCAUUCAAAGUGCCCGAAGCUUUAGUAAAGAGGACGCUGUGAGAAGGCCUGCAAACAGCCGCGUUCUAUGAUCCUUGUGCCGAUACUGUUGUCGCCUCGUCCCCCAGGAAGCGAGGCCUCUGUGAAGCGAGGCUAGCGGGACCAGUAAAUCGGUCAGUUUACCUCCUGGCAGCCAGGACCGCUAGCUAGAAAGGAGAAGGUGUAACCCUUUCAGCAGCAGCUGCGGGAAAGGGCAACUAUGCAAGACUCGUCAGACUGCGAUGUCUUGCAGCUGUGCAAGCAGCUGCAGGAGAUACGUGCCCAGCUUGCCAAGGCCAGGGCCAAGGCGCAAGUCGACGGCACUGUCCAGGACAAAGCAGCUGCGAAAUUGGACGAAGUGUGCGAGUUAUUGCAGCUAGAAAACCAGGGGGACGGUUCUAGUAUUCCAAAAGGUGCAACUGAAAACAGUAA
Molecule: long non-coding RNA, 593 nt
Organism: Rhipicephalus sanguineus (brown dog tick)
Lineage: Eukaryota; Metazoa; Arthropoda; Arachnida; Ixodida; Ixodidae
Exons: 4
Source: RefSeq, a predicted model, not a curated record